UCAUAAUCGAGUGUUUUAUGGCACUCUUUAAAAAAUCCAUAUCCACCUUGUGUGCAACGUUUUUGAACUCUCUCUGGCGUUAAAAAACCAAGAGGGUUUGAUUAACUUAACUUAACACCUUUAAAGCAGUUUGUCUGAAUAUCUAUUUCUGAAUAAACAUAAUUCAAAAAUACAACUUUCAACAACGGAUCUCUUGGCUCUCGCAUCGAUGAAGAACGCAGCGAAAUGCGAUACGUAAUGUGAAUUCCAGAAUUCAGUGAAUCAUCGAAUCUUUGAACGCAUAUUGCGCUCUUUGGUAUUCCGAAGAGCAUGCUUGUUUGAGUAUCAGUAAACACCUCAAAGUCUUUUUUUUUCUUGAAGAAAAAAGACCUUGGACUUGAGCAAUCCCAACUCUUCCUUUCAGAAGAGGCGGGUUGCUUGAAAUGCAGGUGCAGCUGGACAUUCUCCUGAGCUAAAAGCAUAUUCAUUUAGUCCCGUCAAACGGAUUAUUACUUUUGCUGCAGCUAACAUAAAGGGAGUUUGACCGUUUUGGCUGACUGAUGCAGGAUUUUCACAAGAGUCUUCAAAACGCUCUUGUUAAACUCGAUCUCAAAUCAAGUA
Molecule: ribosomal RNA, 600 nt
Filed under: uncultured fungus
Lineage: Eukaryota; Fungi
Description: eukaryotic LSU rRNA
Rfam family: 5.8S ribosomal RNA (bases 174-327)
Source: RNAcentral